RNAcentral lists this ribosomal RNA (590 nucleotides) under uncultured Trichoderma. Its description in RNAcentral is "eukaryotic LSU rRNA". The stretch from base 200 to 353 matches the Rfam family "5.8S ribosomal RNA". The record is from RNAcentral. Lineage: Eukaryota; Fungi; Ascomycota; Sordariomycetes; Hypocreales; Hypocreaceae.
GGACUACGAGCUCACUCCAACCCAUGUGAACGUUACCAAACUGUUGCCUCGGCGGGAUCUCUGCCCCGGGUGCGUCGCAGCCCCGGACCAAGGCGCCCGCCGGAGGACCAACCAAAACUCUUUUUGUAUACCCCCUCGCGGGUUUUUUAUAAUCUGAGCCUUCUCGGCGCCUCUCGUAGGCGUUUCGAAAAUGAAUCAAAACUUUCAACAACGGAUCUCUUGGUUCUGGCAUCGAUGAAGAACGCAGCGAAAUGCGAUAAGUAAUGUGAAUUGCAGAAUUCAGUGAAUCAUCGAAUCUUUGAACGCACAUUGCGCCCGCCAGUAUUCUGGCGGGCAUGCCUGUCCGAGCGUCAUUUCAACCCUCGAACCCCUCCGGGGGGUCGGCGUUGGGGAUCGGCCCUGCCUCUUGGCGGUGGCCGUCUCCGAAAUACAGUGGCGGUCUCGCCGCAGCCUCUCCUGCGCAGUAGUUUGCACACUCGCAUCGGGAGCGCGGCGCGUCCACAGCCGUUAAACACCCAACUUCUGAAAUGUUGACCUCGGAUCAGGUAGGAAUACCCGCUGAACUUAAGCAUAUCAAUAAGCGGAGGAAC